UACGGAGGGGGCUAGCGUUGUUCGGAAUUACUGGGCGUAAAGCGUGCGCAGGCGGCUUCUCAAGUCAGGGGUGAAAGCCCAGAGCUCAACUCUGGAAUUGCCUUUGAUACUGGAGGGCUGGAGACAGGUAGAGGCAAGCGGAAUUCCGGGGUGUAGCGGUGGAAUGCGUAGAUAUCCGGAAGAACACCGGAGGCGAAGGCGGCUUGCUGGACCUGGUCUGACGCUGAGGCGCGAAAGCGUGGGGAGCGAACAGG
Molecule: ribosomal RNA, 254 nt
Filed under: uncultured bacterium
Lineage: Bacteria
Description: partial 16S ribosomal RNA
Rfam family: Bacterial small subunit ribosomal RNA
Source: RNAcentral